Long non-coding RNA from Cyprinus carpio carpio, 1094 nucleotides. The record is from Ensembl. Lineage: Eukaryota; Metazoa; Chordata; Actinopteri; Cypriniformes; Cyprinidae.
ACAAUUGGAGAAAUUUAGUUUCCGUUGAAAAGUCAAGCAGGGGAAGUCAAUAAAGAAAGAAGGUUGAAAAAGCAGAUACAUGCAACACUAAAAUAAUCCUUAUAUACUGAGGUUUUAUGAAGUGGAAGGAUCUUUCUGUUUAAGAAAUUAAAUUUUAUUUACAACUUAAUGAUUAACAACAUUGCUAGGUUCUGAGCAAGGGACAUUCUUGGGAUGGAGGAAUAUAUAUACAAAAACAUUUGUUUAUUUAAAAAAUGUGCAGUGUCACCAACAGAAAUGUUGGAGUUGGCCAAACUAAAAGAACAGACCAAGAUGGAUUGACAGAAGAUUGAACACCUUGAGGACUGCAUUAAAUACCUCGAAGAGGCCAACAGUGAGUUAAAAAAACGACAAGGAAUUCCUGCUUUUACAAAUUAAGGGAGGCCCCAUGGCACCUGCAUCUACUGGAAAGUCAGGUACAUUAGCAACACAAUUAACGUUCAUGCAGUUUACAAUUCAUGCAGUUUUAAAUGUUUGCGAAAGUCAUGAAGGACAGAGAAACUGUGAUAGAGCCACUAUCAACUUUUCCUUUCUAUCUGGUGCACUUAUUCUUUCAAAUUUAAAAAAAUAAUAAUAAUAAGGUAUUGCUCUUAUUCUAAACAUCUUGCACUUGUAAGUCCUUUCUACAGUGUUUGGAAAAUGUGGUGCAUACAAUGUUGGACAUUUAAGAUAAAUUUCAAUUUUAAACUAGUAACCCUUGAUAUUCUGAAAUGUUCAAUGCUAUUUAAAUGAUAGUUUUAGUAUUCACAGUAUUAGUAAAAGUUUAACGUUUCUCCUAAAAUAAAACUGAAGGCAUCUUAAGACAAAGCUGAUAUCUCAAUGAGACAUAUAAGAGAAUCACCUUUAGUAUCCUGAGCAUAGAGUGACAUCUGUCAGAGCCAUAUCCUUGUGGGCAGCACAUCAAUGUGAAGGCACAACUGAACCUCAGACAACAUGGGUUUGAAUCCCAGCUAAAGGUACUUUCAUGCUCAUGUUUGGUUCUUACUUGUCCAAUUGUUUCCUGUCUCUACUCAUAGUGUACUGACCAUUAAAGACCAUUAAAGUUGAAAAACCCU